Molecule: non-coding RNA, 29 nt
Filed under: Homo sapiens (human)
Lineage: Eukaryota; Metazoa; Chordata; Mammalia; Primates; Hominidae
Source: RNAcentral
UCCUCUGCCCCGAUGGAUGCUUUAUUUGG